UCCAGAUGGAAGGCCGUCGAUAAGCAACCUGUGGGAGACUGUGACGGGGGAUGGAGAAUCUGGUCACCCGUGACAUUACUGAAGCAUGCGACGUACGUCACAGCUCGUGAUUGAUGAACGACACUUCUGCCUUCCUUUCCGGGAGAGCUGACGGAGGGAUGACUACACUUGUUAAAAUUAGCGUGCCGUAAGUGAAUGACGUGAGUCGGCAGCUUAAACUUCCGUCCGGCUGCAACGAUGUCACCACGACGUGCGUCACCUAUCAGUGUCAACGCGUCACCUAUUAGUGACAGGGCUGAGUGACAGUGGGACAGUCAACCCCGUCAGCUGCUGUUAGAGGAUGACAAUCGGUGUCGGUGAUCGGUAAAAUGCGACAAAGGCGCGACACGAGCGCCAAGGUUUGUCACCGCGUGAAUUCAUGUCACGCGCGCGUGAGGACCACCCCGAGCGAUUACGCGCCGUGACGUCACGCCGACACGGUCCGGGGACGCCGAUUGUCGCAGCAGGGCGUUAUUGCCUUGUACACACGUGUG
Priapulus caudatus is the source of this 533-nucleotide long non-coding RNA. RefSeq lists it as uncharacterized. The transcript has 3 exons. NCBI's taxonomy places the organism in Eukaryota, Metazoa, Priapulida, Priapulimorpha, Priapulimorphida, Priapulidae. The record is from RefSeq and is a predicted model, not a curated record.